GUGCAGCAGUCGAGAAUACAUUACAAUGUGCGAAAGCACGAUAAGGGAACUCUGAGUGCCUCCUAAGGAGGCUGUUCAGGUGUCUAAAAAGCACCUGGAGUAAGGGCUGGGUAAGACCGGUGCCAGCCGCCGCGGUAACACCGGCAGCCCAGGUGGUAGCCACUUUUAUUGGGUCUAAAGCGUCCGUAGCCGGUUGAGUAAGUUCCUUGGGAAAUUUGGCUGCUCAACGAGUCAAGCUUCCAGGGAAUACUGCUCGACUUGGGACUGGGAGAGGUCAGAGGUACUCCAGGGGUAGGGUGAAAUCCAUUAAUCCCUGGGGGACCACCGGUAGCGAAGGCGUCUGACCAGACCAGGUCCGACGGUGAGGGACGAAGGCUAGGGUCGCGAACCGGAUUAGAUACCC
This 403-nucleotide ribosomal RNA is filed under the name uncultured microorganism. RNAcentral describes it as "bacterial SSU rRNA". It matches the Rfam family "Archaeal small subunit ribosomal RNA", at positions 330 to 738 of the family's 1478-position model. The record is from RNAcentral.